CGGGGUGAGUAAUGCUUGGGAAUCUGGCUUAUGGAGGGGGAUAACGACGGGAAACGUGUCGCUAAUACCGCGUAUUAUCGGAAGAUGAAAGUGCGGGACUGAGAGGCCGCAUGCCAUAGGAUGAGUCCAAGUGGGAUUAGGUAGUUGGUGGGGUAAAGGCCUACCAAGCCUGCGAUCUCUAGCUGGUCUGAGAGGAUGACCAGCCACACUGGAACUGGGACACGGUCCAG
RNAcentral lists this ribosomal RNA (230 nucleotides) under uncultured bacterium. RNAcentral's name for it is "partial 16S ribosomal RNA". It matches the Rfam family "Bacterial small subunit ribosomal RNA", at positions 104 to 334 of the family's 1533-position model. The record is from RNAcentral.